AGAUGGGGUUUCACGGUGUUAGCCAGGCUGGUCUGAAGCUCCUGACCUCGUGAUCUGCCCACCUCAGCCUCCCAAAGUGCUGGGAUUACAGACUGUCACUGCGACACCCAGGCUGGAGUGCAAUGGCGUGAUCUCGGCUCACUGCAACCUCCGCUUCCCGGGUUCAACCGAUUCUCCUGCCUCAGCCUCUCGAGUAGCUGGGACUACAGGUGUCCGCGUUUAUCACCCCUGGAACUCUCCGCCAUCCUCAGAGACCUCCCCUCGCACAAAACCGAGCAGAUGGUGCGCUUAGCGAAGCCGCCGUGAAAUAAGACUUCAGCCGAGGCACUGCGCAGCGCUCCCAGGGCAAACGUUUCCUUUCGGGCUUUCUGGAAGUUUGAUUUCACGUGCUGUCCCAUGGCCGUGCUGGGCAGAAAGGGGUUUAUCUUGGAUGUUCCUGGGGCAUAUGAGCAGUGAGAU
Pan troglodytes (chimpanzee) is the source of this 459-nucleotide long non-coding RNA. RefSeq lists it as uncharacterized. NCBI's taxonomy places the organism in Eukaryota, Metazoa, Chordata, Mammalia, Primates, Hominidae. The record is from RefSeq and is a predicted model, not a curated record. The transcript has 3 exons.